RNAcentral lists this long non-coding RNA (2046 nucleotides) under Homo sapiens (human). Its description in RNAcentral is "HSALNT0213417". The record is from RNAcentral. Lineage: Eukaryota; Metazoa; Chordata; Mammalia; Primates; Hominidae.
GUUUGAGGCUGGGCCUUGCUGCUAACAUGGGCACUGUAGGUACAGACAGGCCUUUGCUGGUUCUGGGCUCGCCUCCCCACAGCGCGUAGGAGAAAAGGGGCCAGGUGAGGAAUACAGAUUCUAUUAAAGUCCCUCCAGCUGGGCCCUGGGGCUACGGGUAAUUCUGUCACCCAGCGCUGCCUGGAGCAGACCCUCUCUGCUUUUGCUCCCCAGCCCUCUGAAGGCCAAGGCAUCCCAGGCCUUUCUUUUUUCUGCCUGCAGGUGGGCUUCAAGCAGCCUCAAGAGGAGUCUUUCCCAUGGCAGGACUCCCCAGGAGAGAGGCUUCCUCCUCACGCCACUUUGUCCUCUGGCAGCAACAAGUCUCAGGGGCUGAGGUAUCCCCUUCCCUUGCAAAUCCCAAGGGGGCACCUGAGGUGUUGCUUUUGGGUGGAGAGGGAGCACAGGCUCUCAGGCUGAUGAAAAUCUCCUGGGGGUGAGCGUUUACUGCUCUCCACAGCUGCCUCCCACCCCUCUGGGGGCCACUCUCCUGCUGACACCCAGCUCGGCACAACUGUUCCACCAAGACGGUGUCCACAAAUGCAUCCCCAAACGACAAGUGCAUGCAAAUCACCCAGUUACAGAAGCAAAUAGCAGUCCAGAGAGAAGAAGAGCCGGUGAGUGGCCCAAGCUAGGGACGAAAGGAAACAAGCUGAGAUUGCAGGUAGGGGGAGAGGGAGCUCUUUGGAGAGGCCCAGAGGCAGGAGGAGGCUAAAGAACAGUGAGGAGGUGGAGAAGAGGAGGCUCUGGGGGCUGCCGGGAGACAGAGGGUCCCAAUGACCUGGCAAAGGUAGACUGGUGUCAAGUGGAAUGGGAAGUAGAGGGAUGCAGAUCAAAGGGGCCCCGGCAGGGUCUAGAAGACUAAGUAUCAUUUCACUCCUCCCUGUACCUACUGUGUUCCAGGGGCUGGUCUGAAAUGCAGAGAAGGGAUACAGUCCUGUUCCUGGAGUAGUUCACAGCUGUGAAGGGCAGAGACAGGGCAGGACCCCAGAAUAUGGACCCCUGGCACAGGCUGGAAGGUGCAGGAGUAGUGGUUGGUGACCUGGAGAUGGUAGGACCCAGCUGAAUGUAUCCAGAGGGAGAAGUGGCAGACAUCCAAGUAGAGAAGGGGUCGGGGAGACCCAGGGAGCAGAGCAGCCAUGCAAAGGUGGAGAGGCAGGAGAGAGCCAGAGGGCUUGCUGGAGCUGCGGUGAGUACAAGCGUGUGUAUCGAAAUGCACAGAACAGCAAGAAGUGAGACAAGGCUGUCUAGGCAGGUAUAAAGCACUUGCCUUGCCAAAUGCCCUGUGUGCUCUGCUGUGAAUACUUGGAUGCAGUGGAGCACAUUCAGAUGACAGAGAGUGACAAGGUAAGAUUUGUGUUUUGAAGACAGUGUGGUGUGCUGGAAGACUGAAGCUAGAGGGCAGCUGGUUAGGAAGCCUUUGCAGUAUUUCAUGCUAGACGUGAUGGAGGCCGGACAAGAUACUAGUAACAGCCAUGCUUCCAUGCCAGGCAUUGUUCUCUGCCUCUUUACAGAGUAGUUCACUUGAUCAUCACAAUAGUACUGUAAAGUAGGCACCGUACUACUUUUAUGUCCACUUUGCAAGUCAGGAAACUCAGGCCCAGAGAAAUGAAGCAACAUGUUCAAGUUUCCUUAUUAAAGCCCCAGAGUUGGCCAGGCUCAGUGGCUCACACCUCAUUGCACUCCAGCCUGGGCAACAAGAGCGAAACUCUGUCGCAAAAAAAAAAAAAAAAAGAGAGAGAGAGAGGGGAAAGAAAGAAAGACAGACAGACAGACAGACAAAGAAAGAAAGAAAGAAAGAAAAGCCCCAGAGUCUGUGCUAAAUGGGAAGGCCCUGGCUGUCAGCAUGGUGAAGAGGAGACAGACAGGCAGAUGUCAAGGAGGAGCAGUCAGGCUGACCUGAAAGCUUCUUGGGAGUGGUGGGGAUAAGACAGAGGGAAAAAUCAAAGAUGAGGGUAAGGGAGAAUCCUGGGUCAAAUAGCUCCCCCGCCAAAUUCAUGUCCAGUUGGA